This 2247-nucleotide ribosomal RNA is filed under the name Triticum aestivum (bread wheat). Its description in RNAcentral is "partial small subunit ribosomal RNA". Lineage: Eukaryota; Viridiplantae; Streptophyta; Magnoliopsida; Poales; Poaceae. The record is from RNAcentral.
AGUUACUCUGCUCCUGUAACCGUUGGUAUUGAAUACACCACAAAAGUUCGAGGGACAACAUCAUAUCCACAGCAGGGAAGUUCCAUCAUUGGGUACAUGCCUAUUAUGCUUAGAAGUCGUGCCUGUGUUUUGAAUGGAAAGGAUGAAGAUGAACUAGCAAGAUAUGGUGAGUGCCCUCUUGAUCCUGGUGGUUACUUCAUUGUGAAAGGAAAUGAGAAGUUCCUUAUUAUACAAGAACAACUAUCAAAGAAUCGUAUUAUUAUUGAGACCGACAGUAAAGGAAGGGUGACUGCAUCUGUUGUGAGCAGCACACACCAAAAAAAAAGCAAGACCAUUGUUGUUAUGGAGAAGGAGAAGAUUUAUCUACAGUUGAAUCAAUUUACUAAGCUGAUUCCUAUAAUGGUUGUUAUGAAAGCCAUGGGAAUGGAAAGUGAUCAAGAGAUUCUACAAAUGAUUGGACGAGAUCCAAGAUAUGGGGACCUCCUGUUUUUAUCUAUUCAGGAAUGUGCCUCAGAGAGAAUAUAUACACAAGAGCAAGCUCUUCAGUACAUGGAUGGCAAGUUGAAGUAUCCCGAUUCAGGAAAUCUGAAGGAGAGUCGGUCAAAAUCAAUACUCCGUGAUGUUUUUCUUGCACAUGUGCCGGUCAAUAAUGGGAACUUCAGAGCAAAGUGCAUUUACACUAGCGUAAUGUUAAGGCGCAUGAUGGAUGCAAUCUUGAAUGCCGACACUUUUGAUGAUAAGGAUUACAUAGGAAAUAAGAGGCUGGAACUGUCUGGUCAACUACUAUCACUGCUAUUCGAGGAUUUGUUCAAAACAAUGAAUUCUAAUGCUGUGAAGAGGAUGAGCGCACAAAGUAGUAAAGCCCAAACAGAUAGUUUUAAGCAGAUAAUAGAGAAGAAUAUUACCAUCACCUCUGGUUUGGAGAGGGCUAUUAACACAGGAAAUUGGGACAUAAGCCGGUUUGGGAUGAGUAGAAAGGGAGUAUCACAGUUUCUUUCUAGGUUAUCCUACAUUGCAUCCGUAGGCUACAUGACGCGCAUAUCACCGCAAUUUGAGAAGACUCGGAAAACAAGUGGACCUCGUGCAUUGCAACCUAGCCAGUGGGGUAUGCUUUGCCCAUGCGAUACUCCUGAAGGGGAACUUUGUGGAUUGACAAAAAAUUUAGCUUUGUUGGCUCAUGUUACAACAGAUCAAGAGGAUGGCCCACUCAUAAAUCUGUGUUAUAGCCUAGGUGUGGAAGAUUUAUCAAUUCUAUCAGGAGAAGAAAUUCAUGCACCAGGUUCAUAUUUGGUCAUGUUCAAUGGAUUAAUACUGGGGAAACAUAGGCAACCUCAGAUAUUUGCUAUUGCUAUGAGAACAUUGCGUCGGUCAGGCUACAUUGGGGAGUUUGUAAGCAUUUUUGUAAAUGAGAAGCAGCAUUGCAUUCACAUUGCCUCUGAUGGUGGUCGUGUUUGUUGCCCACUUAUAAUCGCUGAUAAGGGGAGAUCAAGUGUCCAAGAGCAUCAUAUGAAACAACUGAGGGAUGGUAUACUCUCAUUUGAUGAUUUUCUGCGUGAUGGGUUGAUUGAAUAUCUUGAUGUCAAUGAAGAGAAUAAUGCAUUGAUUGCAUUGUAUGAGCAUGAGAAUCAAGAUGAUGUUCAGAGAAGCAGAAUCACACACAUUGAAAUAGAGCCCUUGACUAUACUAGGAGUUGUGGCUGGACUUAUUCCUUAUCCACACCAUAACCAAUCUCCACGUAACACUUAUCAGUGCGCAAUGGGUAAGCAAGCAAUGGGCAAUAUUGCAUAUAAUCAGGUUUUCCGGGCAGAUCCUCUACUAUAUUUGUUGGUGUAUGCGCAGCGUCCCCUGCUUACAACGAAAACAAUCGAGUUGGUGGGAUAUGAUAAGCUUGGGGCUGGGCAGAAUGCAACUGUUGCUGUCAUGAGUUACAGUGGAUAUGAUAUUGAAGAUGCAAUUGUAAUGAAUAAGUCAUCCCUUGAUCGAGGUUUUGGUCGCUGCAUAGCAAUCAAAAAGGUACAAGGUCACUAUCAGAAGUAUGGAAAUAAUAUAUCAGAAAAGAAUGUUAAACCGGAGAGGGAUAAAGAUGGUGUUUUGAUGAAAAAGAAUAUGCAGGCAUUGGAUGAAGAUGGAUUUGCGGCACCAGGUCGAAUAAUCCACAAUCAUGAUAUCUAUGUGAAUAAGAAAACUCCCAAGAUAAUUCCUGAUGAUACUGCAAACAGUCCUGCCGUUAGAUUAACAGACAGGUGA